This 77-nucleotide transfer RNA is filed under the name Gammaproteobacteria bacterium CG22_combo_CG10-13_8_21_14_all_40_8. Its description in RNAcentral is "tRNA-Met". It matches the Rfam family "tRNA". Rfam says of the family: Transfer RNA (tRNA) molecules are approximately 80 nucleotides in length. Their secondary structure includes four short double-helical elements and three loops (D, anti-codon, and T loops). Lineage: Bacteria; Pseudomonadati; Pseudomonadota; Gammaproteobacteria. The record is from RNAcentral. RNAcentral also lists the same sequence under 1 other name.
UGCGGGGUGGAGCAGCCUGGUAGCUCGUCGGGCUCAUAACCCGAAGGUCGUUGGUUCAAAUCCAGCCCCCGCAACCA